Molecule: ribosomal RNA, 1027 nt
Filed under: Aspergillus niger
Lineage: Eukaryota; Fungi; Ascomycota; Eurotiomycetes; Eurotiales; Aspergillaceae
Description: SSU rRNA
Rfam family: Eukaryotic small subunit ribosomal RNA
Source: RNAcentral
GCACUUUAUACUGUGAAACUGCGAAUGGCUCAUUAAAUCAGUUAUCGUUUAUUUGAUAGUACCUUACUACAUGGAUACCUGUGGUAAUUCUAGAGCUAAUACAUGCUGAAAACCUCGACUUCGGAAGGGGUGUAUUUAUUAGAUAAAAAACCAAUGCCCUUCGGGGCUCCUUGGUGAAUCAUAAUAACUUAACGAAUCGCAUGGCCUUGCGCCGGCGAUGGUUCAUUCAAAUUUCUGCCCUAUCAACUUUCGAUGGUAGGAUAGUGGCCUACCAUGGUGGCAACGGGUAACGGGGAAUUAGGGUUCGAUUCCGGAGAGGGAGCCUGAGAAACGGCUACCACAUCCAAGGAAGGCAGCAGGCGCGCAAAUUACCCAAUCCCGACACGGGGAGGUAGUGACAAUAAAUACUGAUACGGGGCUCUUUUGGGUCUCGUAAUUGGAAUGAGUACAAUCUAAAUCCCUUAACGAGGAACAAUUGGAGGGCAAGUCUGGUGCCAGCAGCCGCGGUAAUUCCAGCUCCAAUAGCGUAUAUUAAAGUUGUUGCAGUUAAAAAGCUCGUAGUUGAACCUUGGGUCUGGCUGGCCGGUCCGCCUCACCGCGAGUACUGGUCCGGCUGGACCUUUCCUUCUGGGGAAUCUCAUGGCCUUCACUGGCUGUGGGGGGAACCAGGACUUUUACUGUGAAAAAAUUAGAGUGUUCAAAGCAGGCCUUUGCUCGAAUACAUUAGCAUGGAAUAAUAGAAUAGGACGUGCGGUUCUAUUUUGUUGGUUUCUAGGACCGCCGUAAUGAUUAAUAGGGAUAGUCGGGGGCGUCAGUAUUCAGCUGUCAGAGGUGAAAUUCUUGGAUUUGCUGAAGACUAACUACUGCGAAAGCAUUCGCCAAGGAUGUUUUCAUUAAUCAGGGAACGAAAGUUAGGGGAUCGAAGACGAUCAGAUACCGUCGUAGUCUUAACCAUAAACUAUGCCGACUAGGGAUCGGACGGUGUUUCUAUUAUGACCCGUUCGGCACCUUACGAGAAAUCAAAGUU